Molecule: ribosomal RNA, 239 nt
Filed under: uncultured Actinomycetales bacterium
Lineage: Bacteria; Bacillati; Actinomycetota; Actinomycetes; Actinomycetales
Description: partial 16S ribosomal RNA
Rfam family: Bacterial small subunit ribosomal RNA
Source: RNAcentral
CGAGUGGCGAACGGGUGAGUAACACGUGGGUGAUCUGCCCUGCACUCUGGGAUAAGCCUGGGAAACUGGGUCUAAUACCGGAUAGGACCAUGCUUUAGUGUGUGUGGUGGAAAGUUUUUUCGGUGUGGGAUGAGCCCGCGGCCUAUCAGCUUGUUGGUGGGGUGAUGGCCUACCAAGGCGACGACGGGUAGCCGGCCUGAGAGGGUGUACGGCCACAUUGGGACUGAGAUACGGCCCAG